Molecule: ribosomal RNA, 318 nt
Filed under: uncultured Prevotella sp.
Lineage: Bacteria; Pseudomonadati; Bacteroidota; Bacteroidia; Bacteroidales; Prevotellaceae
Description: bacterial SSU rRNA
Rfam family: Bacterial small subunit ribosomal RNA
Source: RNAcentral
GAUGAACGCUAGCUACAGGCUUAACACAUGCAAGUCGAGGGGCAGCAUGUCGGUGGCUUGCCACCGGCGAUGGCGACCGGCGCACGGGUGAGUAACGCGUAUCCAACCUUCCCCCGGUAGGGAUAGCCCGGCGAAAGUCGGAUUAAUACCCUAUGUUUUCCUUUGAUGGCAUCUGAGGAGGAGCAAAGAUUUAUCGCCAGGGGAUGGGGAUGCGUCCGAUUAGGCAGUCGGCGGGGUAACGGCCCACCGAGCCUUCGAUCGGUAGGGGUUCUGAGAGGAAGGUCCCCCACAUUGGAACUGAGACACGGUCCAAACUCC